This 213-nucleotide long non-coding RNA is filed under the name Mytilus galloprovincialis (Mediterranean mussel). Lineage: Eukaryota; Metazoa; Mollusca; Bivalvia; Mytilida; Mytilidae. The record is from RNAcentral.
GUGGGACUGCCCAUUGAACAGAGGCCUGAUGUCACAUCUUGAAGUUGUGGUCACAGUUUGGUUAAAUUACCAUAAGUUAAAUGGCUCAACCACUACGGCUCCUUGUACAAAUGGACAAAGAUUUAAAACUUUUGCCCAACUAGGGCUCAAACCAAUACCUGGAGGCUAGUAAUCAUACAUGUAAGGUGUGACGAACUACCAUACAAACACGCC